AUACCUGCAAAAAGAGAGAAAAUAAUUAGACAGCUGAAUUAGAUGAUGGUUCUGCUUUGGUUUCUUUGUAAUAAGUGAUGCAGUGGGAUAAAUACUUCCACUGACCCAAAAUGGCAUUUAGAGAUGCAUGGGGAGAAUAGCAGCUAUGAAAUCAGUAGACAUGCACAUAAAUGUUUUGCAAUGCAUUUGCCUCAACUGCAUACAAACAGCCAUUGCCACUGCAGCUGACACAGCAUGGAUAUGAAAAGGUAAUCAUGGUACCCCAGAGAUGGUGAUAAAUGGGCAUGCAGGUUACAUUUAUGCAGCUCUCACCCUCCUCUUGCCCUCAAAACCUUUUUUUUUUUUUUUUUAAACUUAUUUUGGGUUAAAAUGAAAUUAGGUGAAGAAUUUGUCUUGAAAGAUACGUGCUUUAUUUCUAAUUAAUGAAUUUCAUUUAAACUAGAAACACAAUUUGCAAGUGUUCAGGUGACCCCAUGUGUAUGAACAGUUAGCACUGCAGAUAUUCCAGAAAACAAUUCACUCUAUGCUCAAAAAAUCUUUCAUUUGGAAAAAUAAAACAAACACCACCAAGAAUAAAGUAACAACUAGAGGAAAUUAAAUAAACUAUUAUCUAACUUAAUUUCAUUCCAGAUAGGAGUGUAUUUCUCAUGAGCAUCACUUUAUAUUGUCGCUAAGUAUUUGGACUAAGUAUUAACAGUUGAAUUUUCAGCUUUUCUGAGUGAGAAAGGUAGUUCAACACCUCAUUUUUAGAGAGAAAAAGGAAAACUGAAGGAAAGCACAAAAUGCAUCACUUUUCUCAUGUGUUUAGUUAUUUUUACUGGAAGAAAAGUUGUUUUUGUAUCAACUUCUGUAACAGAAUCAGCAUUUUCUGUGGCAAAGGUAUUAAAAAGGCAAAAAAUGCGUUGUUAAUUUUAUUUUUAUCAAAGCAUUUCUUGGCUUACAUCUGACUGAAGUAGGUUGAAGGAGAGAGAGAGAAAAGGGUAAAAGAAGAAUAAUGGAUUGGAAGAAGUCUGGUGUGUGAUAUUUUGGUAUAUAUUCAAGUACAUGUGUUUUGGAGUCUACACUGUCAUUAGUUUUCUCUUCUUACUGACUCAUGGUUUGUGCAUCAGCUGCCUUACUUAUCAGCAUAGCAUCCAAAGAAUUGAUCUAAAGAUUCAGACUUGUAGGGGUUUUUUUUGUUUUGUUUUGUUUUGUUUUGUCUCCUGUGAAUCUACCUAUUUGUCACUGACACAGUAUUUUGUUAAUUUUUCAUAGAUAAGAAAUAGUAAAUGUGUCUCUAAAUUACUGGGUACCUUUUACCCUUUGUGCUGUGCUGUUUUGUUAGAAGUAGUGCUAAUAUGUGCACUAUGGACUUUCUGAAGAACCUUCAAAAGUCGUUGAUCACCUCAUUGCAUAAACAUGAAUGCAGUGUCACCUGCUGUGUGAGUUGUGAUGGGACCUGUCUUUGAGCUGAGAGAGUAAACGUGAGAUCUUCGUGGAUUAUAGAAAUGAUCAGCUUUCAUUAGCCUGGCAUUAGCAUCCUGGGACACAGCCAUAUACAACUAACUAAUUUUACUUUCAUGCAUUUUCCUGCUGAAGUCAGCUCAAUUACUGACAGGCCAUGUACUAUGAGGCUUCCAGCAGUGAUACCUGCAACUCCAUUAAACCAGUCAACCACCUGUCAUCAAGAUUUGUCAGAACAUUUGUGGCAAUAUGUUUUGUAUUUGCUUACUUCAAAGGAAUUUCAAUUCCUGGCUAAGAGCAGAGAGGAUAAAAUGAAUUAAUAUCUGCAACUCCUUAGUGCUCCCAGUUUAGCGUCACUAUGGGGAUCGUUUCACUGAAGCUAGGGGAAAUUACUGUCAAGAAUCUGUGCUUUAAAACAAAUGUUCUCAGUAGUUAUAAAAUGCAUUGGAGCAAUAUGCAGGUUCCUGAGUUAAUUACCAAGUGGAUGGAUGGAACUCUUUUCAGUACUUUGAAAGAACUGAAUUUGUUUUGGAGCCUCUUCAGCCUUCACAGUACUAAGUAACAUAGCUUGAAACUCAUUUUUAAGAGCUGAUGCCCAUUCAAAGUACACCUUUCACGUGAGGCCACUGCUCAGAGCUUUAUUACUCUAGUCUUCACAGGUACUUACUUGGAUCAAGUUUUAUUGACUGUCUUGCUGGAUACCACUGGGGAUCUGUAAAACCAUGAAGAAUUUUGUGAUAUACAAUGUUUCUUAUAAAUUAUCCACUGUUACAAUGAAUGAAACACAACACAGAUUUAUUUGAAGAUAUUUAGGAAGGUGUAUCAGGCUAGUAUAAAAAUUGUAUUGAAAUCUCACUAUGAUCACAUUCAUGUGCAGAUUACCUCACAUUGUCAUAAAAUCACAGAAUGGCCUGUGUUGGAAGAGGCUGUAAAGAUCAUCUAGUUCUAGCCUCUAAUGUGCAUAUGCAUCACGUUUCACCUUAUAUAAUUUUUUCUUAUUUAUAUACUGGAUAUUCUGAUGCAAUACAAACUGUUGCAAAAGUUAUACUCACAUAAUUUAUGGAACAUUGAUCUUAUCUCCCUAAUUGUAGCAUUUGGUUCCACCUAGGCAAAAAAGAACAUAUUUAUAUAUAUGUAUAUAUAUAUAUACGUAUGUAAGAUACGUAUUUUUAAAGACAGCUGUUAGGAUUGGUAUGAAUGAUUCAAAACACUUCUUACAGGAAAAGUGGAGGACCUGAUUUGUGACAUCUGUUUCAGAGGCAGCUACUGUGGCAGUACUCAGUGUUACUACAGCAGCAGUGACAGUUUGAUGGCUUCUAAAUGAGUAAGGGACAACUGGCACCAUCUUAGAGAAGCAAGUGAAAUUGUGCUCUUUGCACAAGAGGUAUGAGUACGAAGCAUAUGAAGCAUGAACAGUUAUUGUCUCCUUAAUGCCAAAGAAGGGCUGUCAAAAUACUUUUCGCAAACAUUAACUUUGCUUUAAAAAGAGCUAGCAAUUUGUAAAUAGUCACCUAAUGUUUUGAGCAGGUUUUUAUUUUACCUUAUCUAAGAAGCAUAAUUGUUCCUUUGUCUUCCAGUCAAGGAUUUCCACCUGAUAGGACACAAAACAAUAAUCAUUAAUUACUGACUGCAUAAUAUCUAAACUCUUAGUUGACUCUCAAAUUCACAAUCACUAUUCAGAAUGAGAUACCAUUUUUCUAUGAUCUACAUGUGAGAAGCAAUUCUAAUGUGCUCAAGAGACAGCUUUAAUCAGAGACAGGAUCUCAAAUAACUCAAUUUGUGACAAAAGUAACACUUGACAAAUAAGUUGUCUUCAUGGAUAAAUUCAGAAGCAGUAGUAGCUAAUUUACUGACCAAAAGAUGCAUAUUCAGGGAUGUUCUCUUAAACUAAAACAAAAAGAGCAAAUAAAGAGAAGUUUCACGCAAAUCAUUAAGGAACAAAUUUGUCUUCAGAAUUGUUCUGAUUUGUAAAAUGAGACAAUUCAAGAAGAAAUGUAAAUGUGCACUACAUGCAUGUAAGCAAAUAUUUUGAAUAUGUAUAGAAUGAAGAUUACCGUGCAUUGUUCCUGGAAUUUGUUAAUUGUGAAGAGAGUAAAAAACCUCAAAUGACAUAAUGAACAAAUGCAGCUAAAAAUGGAGACUUCACACAUCAUCGUGAUACAUGCAGCAUUGUAUGUGAUAUUAUGUUAUUCUUGCCUCUCAGAUCACCUGUAUUACAAACUGCGUAUCAGCAUUUUAUAUUCCAAGCAGCUGAGACAAGGAUAGAGUAGACUGUUUUGAUGAUCAAAUGACAUUUUGGCAAAAGAUUUUAGGAGUCCAGUUACAGCAGGCUCUUACAAUACACUGGUUGUGUUUUAAUUCCAUUUGUUUCCAUCAAACACUUAGCUGUACCACAGGGUCCAUUACUAAGUUUGAAGGAUCAAAGCUUAUCUGUCACACUAAAUGACUGUGGCUAUCAUUACUCAGUUUGGGUUUUGCUCUUUGGUUUUGUUUAUUUUUAUAAUAUCUACCAUUAAUUACGUUUGGUAUUAACUGACCAAGAGGACAGAUUAACGGUAGACUUUAAGUAUGACUCCUGGCUAAAAAUAGGAGUCACAGUCCAGUAUCUUUCUGACAGUUUCUUUGAAGAGAUCACUCAGUUAGAGUGUCUUGUUUCCCCCUUUUACUUGUCCCAAAUUGUUCUUUCUCUUUUAGUGUAGCAAUGAAGCACUUCAGCUCCAGCCAGUAGUAUCAGAUCUCAUCCCACAAGGGAUACUAAUGCAGUAGUAUUUUCCACCUGCACCCUGUAAGCUCCAAAGGAAGUGCCAAGGGAGGUGAGCACUUCUCCUCCUUUGCAGUUCAUGAAGAAUGUAAGCCACAUUGGGGUAUUAUGUAUUUCUCUCUUUGUUGCUGGUUGUUGUUGUCGUUUAAAUACAUAUUUGAAACGAUGUAGAUUACAAGAGUUACUGCCUCUGUGGGAGAUCCCUGUGGGAAAGCAAACAAAGUGAAUUGUGUUAUUCUGCAAUACUGACCUACAGUAUUCUGACUCUCACAAGCCACAGAACAGGUACUAUGGGGGCUGUAAACUCAUUUUUGUCCCUUGAAAUGCUGAGUUACUACAAGGUUUAUUGAAACCUCUGGUGUAUCUCAAAGUUUUUGUAUCAAAAAACACCACUGGGCAGCCCUACUGACUACAGCAGUGAGUAACUUAGAAGCCUCCUCCUCAUUCCAUACCCAGGGACAGCAUAUGCAUAUUGGAUUGGAAUCUCUACCCAGGCAGUUCUAUUCUAUGACUUUCAGUGUCCAUAUUAGAGAAGUCCUCUCCAGGCCAAUUACAGAGCAGGCUGGCCAUCUUUCUGCCACUUAUGCUCUUCUAAUUAGUUUACUCUCAUUUUGCACAAGGCCAGACAGAAAAUUACAAAACAUUUUCUUUUGCUCUGUGUUCUUCCUGGGGGAAGCUAUGCAGAAAUUCUGGUAUUUCUGUGAACCAUUGGAAUCAGUAUGGGAAAGAAGCAAACAAAAACAAACAAAUAACAACAAAAUAAUCCAGGA
Tympanuchus pallidicinctus (lesser prairie-chicken) is the source of this 4974-nucleotide long non-coding RNA. RefSeq lists it as uncharacterized. The transcript is spliced from 2 exons. The record is from RefSeq and is a predicted model, not a curated record. Lineage: Eukaryota; Metazoa; Chordata; Aves; Galliformes; Phasianidae.